This 2090-nucleotide long non-coding RNA is filed under the name Pan troglodytes (chimpanzee). Its description in RNAcentral is "long non-coding RNA NONPTRT007009". Lineage: Eukaryota; Metazoa; Chordata; Mammalia; Primates; Hominidae. The record is from RNAcentral.
GGCGGGGGGACCUCUGGCAGGGGGGCCUCUGUGGCAGGGGGGUCACAGCCCAAGGAAGGGGAGCAGGCCCAGGGCUGAAAAUGGCGGGACAUCCAGUAUUGGGUUCACGUGCAUAAGACUGUCCCAGACAGCAGCACAAUCACGUUCAGCCAAGUGGAGUUUCCGACGCACUUGUGUGGCAGCCGCGUGAAUGUGAGCCGAUAUGCAGCUGGGAGGGGUUGUGGGCCUCCUGCGGUGAGGGGCUCCUGCCAGGAGCUCUGAGAAGCCUCCACAGAAUCAGCCGUCGGGCUCCUUCAGCAGCAGCUCCCCUUAUCUGUGCCAACGACCGGGGGCCCAACUCAAGGGUGCCAGCCCAUCUUCCGCCAAUACAGACUGUGGGAUUCUGAGAGGAGCCUGGGGUCCCCUGGGGUGGGGUGGUCAGGGUGAGCAGGUGGGCUCUGUGAGCCUGUUUCCCCAUGCCCUGACUCACCCCAAUCCCUGGGUGAGGACAGAGCUCCUGAAGGCCACUGAAGGAGGUGCAGCACACUCCACCUGGGUGGCCUUCCGCAGCUCAGCCCUCUUCCUGCCGGCAGGAAGCCUCUGCCUGUGCUCCUUAAGUUAGCCAUCCUCACCCCCCCGGGCAGCUCUGAGACUGAGCCAGGGCCACCAGCAGCACCCAGACCUCCACCCUUCUCAGACCGAGGCCCCACCACCCCAGGCCGAGGAGGCAAGGAGGGAAGACCAAAGUCUAGAGGACUGUCUUGGUGGCCCUGGGCGAGUCUUGAACUUUGGUGCCAUCAUCUGCAAAAGGGAGGAAAGAAUGCCUGCCUGCGUGGUGCAGCUACGUGGAUACGCAGUGAAGACCCGCACGGUGGGACGCCUGGCACUUAACAAUGGUAGCAUCGUUUUCAGUGCCCAGGAAGAAGGCAGCUGGGACAGGGAAAGGGCCACCACACCACACCCAAGCCCAUACAACAGGAGAGCCACUUUCAGCAGCUCUGAGCAGGACAGACUUGUGGCCAAGUCAAGAAAGUAAGGUCUGGUCCCAGCGCGGUGGCUCAUGCCUGUAAUCCCAGUGCUUUGGGAGGCCGAAGGGGGGGCGGGGUGGAUCACUUGAGGUCAGGGGUUUGAGACCAGCCUGACCAACAUGGUGAAACCUCAACUCUACUAAAAAUACAAAAAAAAGGGCCGGGCGCAGUGGCUCACGCCUGUAAUCCCAGCACUUUGGGAGACUGAGGCGGGCGGAUCACAAGGUCAGGAGAUCGAGACCAACCUGGCUAACACAGUGAAACCCCAUCUCUACUAAAAAUACGAAAAAAAAAAUUAGCUGGGCGUGGUGGCGGGUACCUAGUCCCAGCUACUUGGGAGGCUGAGGCAGGAGAAUGGCAUGAACCCGGGAGGUGGAGCUUGCAGUGAGCCGAGAUUGUGCCACUGCACUCCAGCCUGGGCGACAGAGCAAGACUCCGUCUCAAAAAAAAAAAAAAAAAAAAAAAGUAAGGUCUGUAUCUGCUGACCCCACCCUUCUCCGAAGCCCUCUCCGAGCAAAGCCUUAAGAAACUCUUCUCUCGUUCACUUUUCUUUUGUGGCUUUCACGUUUUGGUAAGACUUGGCCAAAUAGCUGCUCGAGAUAAUCACUGGUGGACAGGUUUCUGCUGAGUGAGGUUUCUGCUGAGUGGGGCGACUCAAGGCAUGGUCACGUAGGCGGCACCUGUACACCGCAUCCUCAUACAGCUGCGUGACCGUGCCUCUGACUGUGUGCGUGUGUGUUUAUCUAAGUGUGAGAUGCAUCCGGGCAUGUCAGGGUGUGUACAUGUUCGGAAGACUGUGUAGAUUUCUUGUGUGCCGCUCUCUGAAUGGAGGAGAGGGGAAGCGUCUUACCUCGCUGAAUUCCUUUCCAUUGCUGGAAAGAACACCUGGGCAGGAGCGGCCCCAAGACCCCGCCCAGGCCCUCGGAAGGGAGCCUGAAGGGUUAAUCCGUACCCUGUAUUAACCAGGGUCAACCCAGCGGCUGACCCGCCGCUUCCCUGCUCCUUUGCCGUUUCUAGCACCUGGCUUACUUCCUGGCACACAGUGAGCACUCAAUAAAUGUAUGCUGAGAAUGACUGCAAGCG